UGGGGAAUAUUGCACAAUGGGCGAAAGCCUGAUGCAGCAACGCCGCGUGAGUGAUGAAGGUCUUCGGAUUGUAAAGCUCUGUCUUUUGGGACGAUAAUGACGGUACCAAAGGAGGAAGCCACGGCUAACUACGUGCCAGCAGCCGCGGUAAUACGUAGGUGGCGAGCGUUGUCCGGAUUUACUGGGCGUAAAGGGUGCGUAGGCGGAUGUUUAAGUGAGAUGUGAAAUACCCGGGCUUAACUUGGGUGCUGCAUUUCAAACUGGAUAUCUAGAGUGCAGGAGAGGAGAAUGGAAUUCCUAGUGUAGCGGUGAAAUGCGUAGAGAUUAGGAAGAACACCAGUGGCGAAGGCGAUUCUCUGGACUGUAACUGACGCUGAGGCACGAAAGCGUGGGUAGCAAACAGGUAUAGUACCCUGGUAGUCCGCGCCGUAAACGAUGAGUACUAGGUGUAGGAGGUAUCGACCCCUUCUGU
RNAcentral lists this ribosomal RNA (472 nucleotides) under uncultured bacterium. RNAcentral's name for it is "partial 16S ribosomal RNA". It matches the Rfam family "Bacterial small subunit ribosomal RNA", at positions 355 to 844 of the family's 1533-position model. The record is from RNAcentral.